GAGGAUAUAGCUCAGUGGUAGAUCAUGUGUUUAGAAUGCGUGAGGUCCUGGGUUCAAUCCCCAGCACCUCCA
This 72-nucleotide transfer RNA is filed under the name Camelus bactrianus (Bactrian camel). It matches the Rfam family "tRNA". From Rfam's summary of the family: Transfer RNA (tRNA) molecules are approximately 80 nucleotides in length. Their secondary structure includes four short double-helical elements and three loops (D, anti-codon, and T loops). The record is from Rfam by way of RNAcentral. Lineage: Eukaryota; Metazoa; Chordata; Mammalia; Artiodactyla; Camelidae. RNAcentral also lists the same sequence under 1 other name.